RNAcentral lists this ribosomal RNA (802 nucleotides) under uncultured Bacteroidota bacterium. RNAcentral describes it as "bacterial SSU rRNA". It matches the Rfam family "Bacterial small subunit ribosomal RNA", at positions 685 to 1501 of the family's 1533-position model. Lineage: Bacteria; Pseudomonadati; Bacteroidota. The record is from RNAcentral.
AAUGCUUAGAUAUCACGAAGAACUCCGAUUGCGAAGGCAGCUCACUGGACUGCAACUGACACUGAUGCUCGAAAGUGUGGGUAUCAAACAGGAUUAGAUACCCUGGUAGUCCACACAGUAAACGAUGAAUACUCGCUGUUUGCGAUAUACAGUAAGCGGCCAAGCGAAAGCAUUAAGUAUUCCACCUGGGGAGUACGCCGGCAACGGUGAAACUCAAAGGAAUUGACGGGGGCCCGCACAAGCGGAGGAACAUGUGGUUUAAUUCGAUGAUACGCGAGGAACCUUACCCGGGCUUAAAUUGCAUUUGAAUAAUCUGGAAACAGGUUAGCCGCAAGGCAAAUGUGAAGGUGCUGCAUGGUUGUCGUCAGCUCGUGCCGUGAGGUGUCGGCUUAAGUGCCAUAACGAGCGCAACCCUUAUCUUUAGUUACUAACAGGUCAUGCUGAGGACUCUAGAGAGACUGCCGUCGUAAGAUGUGAGGAAGGUGGGGAUGACGUCAAAUCAGCACGGCCCUUACGUCCGGGGCUACACACGUGUUACAAUGGGGGGUACAGAAGGCAGCUACCUGGUGACAGGAUGCUAAUCCCAAAAGCCUCUCUCAGUUCGGAUCGAAGUCUGCAACCCGACUUCGUGAAGCUGGAUUCGCUAGUAAUCGCGCAUCAGCCAUGGCGCGGUGAAUACGUUCCCGGGCCUUGUACACACCGCCCGUCAAGCCAUGAAAGCCGGGGGUACCUGAAGUACGUAACCGCAAGGAGCGUCCUAGGGUAAAACUGGUAAUUGGGGCUAAGUCGUAACAAGGUAACC